RNAcentral lists this non-coding RNA (165 nucleotides) under uncultured Lachnospira sp. The record is from RNAcentral. Lineage: Bacteria; Bacillati; Bacillota; Clostridia; Lachnospirales; Lachnospiraceae.
UUGGGAGAAAAUUAGAAAAUCUUAGUUUACCUGUCUGUAAUGUAGUGUUUUGCUGCCAUGGAUGGCAGCAAAAGUCUUAAUGCCACAAGGAUGUGGCGUUUAAGACGUACACGUUAUUAGGAGAAAUCCUACAUCAGAUAAACUUAGAUUUUCUUAUUUUCGUAC